CCCUUAGAUGUCCUGGGCUGCACGCGCGCUACACUGAUGUGUCCAGUAAGCACCUAACCUCUUCCGAAAGGAACGGGUAACCUUUGCAAAGCACAUCGUGAUGGGGAUAGAUUAUUGCAAUUAUUAGUCUUGAACGAGGAAUUCCUAGUAAGCACAAGUCAUCAGCUUGUGUUGAUUACGUCCCUGCCCUUUGUACACACCGCCCGUCGCUACUACCGAUUGAAUGAUUUAGUGAGUACCAGGGACCGAGCGCUUUGGUUGGGUUUCCUUCCCUAGCGCUUGGGAACUGUCGCAAACUUGACCAUUUAGAGGAAGUAAAAGUCGUAACA
This 329-nucleotide ribosomal RNA is filed under the name uncultured eukaryote. Its description in RNAcentral is "partial 18S ribosomal RNA". It matches the Rfam family "Eukaryotic small subunit ribosomal RNA", at positions 1470 to 1796 of the family's 1831-position model. The record is from RNAcentral.